AUUGAACGCUGGCGGCAGGCCUAACACAUGCAAGUCGAACGAGUGGCGGACGGGUGAGUAAUGUCUGGGAAACUGCCUGAUGGAGGGGGAUAACUACUGGAACCGGUAGCUAAUACCGCCUACCAUCGGAUGUGCCCCGAUGGGAUUGGCUAGUAGGUGGGGUAAAGGCUCACCUAGGAGACUAUCCCUCGCUGGUCUGAGAGGAUGACCAGCCACACUGGAACUGAGACACGGUCCAUACUCAUACGGGAGGCAGCAGUGGGGAAUAUUGCACAAUGGGCGCAAGCCUGAUGCAUCCAUGCCGCGUGUAUGAAGAAGGCCUUCGGGUUGUAAAGUACUUUCAGCGGGGAGGCGUUACCCGCAGAAGAAGCACCGGCUAACUCCGUGCCAGCAGCCGCGGUAAUAC
RNAcentral lists this ribosomal RNA (406 nucleotides) under uncultured bacterium. RNAcentral describes it as "partial 16S ribosomal RNA". It matches the Rfam family "Bacterial small subunit ribosomal RNA", at positions 30 to 526 of the family's 1533-position model. The record is from RNAcentral.